GUUUAGCAAUUGCGUUAACGAUUGAAACGACAUCUUUUUUUGCUCUUUCUGCAAAAAAGAUAAAGUGUAAAGCGUGUAAAAAC
Molecule: small RNA, 83 nt
Filed under: Pedobacter psychrophilus
Lineage: Bacteria; Pseudomonadati; Bacteroidota; Sphingobacteriia; Sphingobacteriales; Sphingobacteriaceae
Description: Pedobacter sp. CCM 8644 Flavo-1 RNA
Rfam family: Flavo-1 RNA
Source: Rfam by way of RNAcentral